GAUGAACGCUGGCGGCGUGCCUAAUACAUGCAAGUCGAGCGAACAGACGAGGAGCUUGCUCCUCUGACGUUAGCGGCGGAAGUGUGAGUAACACGUGGAUCACCUACCUAUAAGACUGGGAUAACUUCGGGAAACCGGAGCUAAUACCGGGUAAUAUAUUGAACCGCAUGGUUCAAUAGUGAAAGACGGUUUUGCUGUCACUUAUAGCUGGAUCCGCGCCGCAUUAGCUAGUUGGUAAGGUAACGGCUUACCAAGGCGCCGGUGCGUAGCCGAACUGAGAGGGUGUACGGCCACACAGGAACUGAGACACGGUCUAGACUCCGACAGGAGGCAGCAGUAGGGAAUGUUCGGCAAUGGGCGGAAGCCUGACGGAGCAACGCCAGGUUAGUGAUGAAGGUCUUCGGAUCGUAAAACUGUGUUAGGAGGGAAGAACAAAUGUGUAAGUAACGAUGCACGUCGUGACGGUACCUAAACAGAAAGCCACGGCUAACUACGUG
Molecule: ribosomal RNA, 497 nt
Filed under: uncultured bacterium
Lineage: Bacteria
Description: partial 16S ribosomal RNA
Rfam family: Bacterial small subunit ribosomal RNA
Source: RNAcentral